This 492-nucleotide ribosomal RNA is filed under the name uncultured bacterium. RNAcentral's name for it is "partial 16S ribosomal RNA". It matches the Rfam family "Bacterial small subunit ribosomal RNA", at positions 29 to 507 of the family's 1533-position model. The record is from RNAcentral.
AGUGAACGCUGGCGGUAGGCCUAACACAUGCAAGUCGAACGGCAGCACAGUAAGAGCUUGCUCUUACGGGUGGCGAGUGGCGGACGGGUGAGGAAUACAUCGGAAUCUACUUUUUCGUGGGGGAUAACGUAGGGAAACUUACGCUAAUACCGCAUACGACCUACGGGUGAAAGCAGGGGAUCUUCGGACCUUGCGCGAUUGAAUGAGCCGAUGUCGGAUUAGCUAGUUGGCGGGGUAAAGGCCCACCAAGGCGACGAUCCGUAGCUGGUCUGAGAGGAUGAUCGGCCACACUGGAACUGAAACACGGUCCAGACUCCUACGGGAGGCAGCAGUGGGGAAUAUUGGACAAUGGGCGCAAGCCUGAUCCAGCCAUACCGAGUGGGUGAAGAAGGCCUUCGGGUUGUAAAGCCCUUUUGUUGGGAAAGAAAAGCAGCAGGUUAAUACCCCGCUGUUCUGACGGUACCCAAAGAAUAAGCACCGGCUAACUUCGUG